RNAcentral lists this ribosomal RNA (423 nucleotides) under Enterococcus faecium. Its description in RNAcentral is "bacterial SSU rRNA". It matches the Rfam family "Bacterial small subunit ribosomal RNA", at positions 93 to 502 of the family's 1533-position model. The record is from RNAcentral. Lineage: Bacteria; Bacillati; Bacillota; Bacilli; Lactobacillales; Enterococcaceae.
GAGUGGCGAACGGGUGAGUAACACGUGGGUAACCUGCCCAUCAGAAGGGGAUAACACUUGGAAACAGGUGCUAAUACCGUAUAACAAUCGAAACCGCAUGGUUUUGAUUUGAAAGGCGCUUUCGGGUGUCGCUGAUGGAUGGACCCGCGGUGCAUUAGCUAGUUGGUGAGGUAACGGCUCACCAAGGCCACGAUGCAUAGCCGACCUGAGAGGGUGAUCGGCCACAUUGGGACUGAGACACGGCCCAAACUCCUACGGGAGGCAGCAGUAGGGAAUCUUCGGCAAUGGACGAAAGUCUGACCGAGCAACGCCGCGUGAGUGAAGAAGGUUUUCGGAUCGUAAAACUCUGUUGUUAGAGAAGAACAAGGAUGAGAGUAACUGUUCAUCCCUUGACGGUAUCUAACCAGAAAGCCACGGCUAACU